This 254-nucleotide ribosomal RNA is filed under the name uncultured bacterium. Its description in RNAcentral is "partial 16S ribosomal RNA". It matches the Rfam family "Bacterial small subunit ribosomal RNA", at positions 524 to 776 of the family's 1533-position model. The record is from RNAcentral.
UACAGAGGUGGCAAGCGUUGUUCGGAAUUACUGGGCGUAAAGGGCGCGUAGGCGGUCUUGCAAGUCCCGUGUGAAAUCCCUCGGCUCAACUGAGGAACUGCACGGGAAACUGCUUGGCUUGAGUUCGGGAGAGGGAAGCGGAAUUCCGGGUGUAGCGGUGAAAUGCGUAGAUAUCUGGAGGAACACCGGUGGCGAAGGCGGCAUCCUGGACCAACACUGACGCUGAGUGAGCGAAAGCCAGGGGAGCAAACGGG